UGACGUUCAAAGAGGAAAGUGGCGGACGGGCGAGUAACGCGUGAGUACCUGCCCAUAAGAGGGGGAUAAUCCAUGGAAACGUGGACUAAUACCGCAUAUUGUUGCAUGACGAAAGAUUUAUCGCUUAUGGAUGGACUCGCGUCAGAUUAGAUAGUUGGUGAGGUAACGGCUCACCAAGUCAACGAUCUGUAGCCGAACUGAAGGUUGAUCGGCCGCAUUGGGACUGAGACACGGCCCAGACUCCUACGGGAGGCAGCAGUGGGGAAUAUUGCGCAAUGGGGGCAACCCUGACGCAGCAACGCCGCGUGCAGGAAGAAGGUCUUCGGAUUGUAAACUGUUGUCGCAAGGGAAGAAGACGUGACGGUACCUUGUGAGAAAGUCACGGCUAACUACGUGCCAGCAGCCGCGGUAAUACGUAGGUGACAAGCGUUGUCCGGAUUUACUGGGUGUAAAGGGCGCGUAGGCGGACUGUCAAGUCAGUCGUGAAAUACCGGGGCUUAACCCCGGGGCUGCGAUUGAAACUGACAGCCUUGAGUAUCGGAGAGGAAAGCGGAAUUCCUAGUGUAGCGGUGAAAUGCGUAGAUAUUAGGAGGAACACCAGUGGCGAAGGCGGCUUUCUGGA
RNAcentral lists this ribosomal RNA (622 nucleotides) under uncultured bacterium. RNAcentral's name for it is "bacterial SSU rRNA". It matches the Rfam family "Bacterial small subunit ribosomal RNA", at positions 76 to 733 of the family's 1533-position model. The record is from RNAcentral.